CCUGUUGUGUGGGUCGUGUAUUUUCCUCACUCCUCUGGAAAGAUUAGUUGUGUGUGUCCAGGCAUUGUUAGGGAGUAUGUAAGUCUCAUGCGCAUGAAAGAAGUCGCCAGCUGCUGCUUUGUUGUGGCUUAUAUACUGGUUCCAGUUUUGGGAUGCCGGAUUGUUGCUUGGGCACUGUUGCUUUGAACGCCUUCAGUUCGC
This is a long non-coding RNA of Sinocyclocheilus anshuiensis, 201 nucleotides long. RefSeq lists it as uncharacterized. NCBI's taxonomy places the organism in Eukaryota, Metazoa, Chordata, Actinopteri, Cypriniformes, Cyprinidae. The record is from RefSeq and is a predicted model, not a curated record. The transcript is spliced from 3 exons.